Molecule: transfer RNA, 91 nt
Filed under: Camelus bactrianus (Bactrian camel)
Lineage: Eukaryota; Metazoa; Chordata; Mammalia; Artiodactyla; Camelidae
Also listed under: 3 other names
Rfam family: tRNA
About the family: Transfer RNA (tRNA) molecules are approximately 80 nucleotides in length. Their secondary structure includes four short double-helical elements and three loops (D, anti-codon, and T loops). Further hydrogen bonds mediate the characteristic L-shaped molecular structure. tRNAs have two regions of fundamental functional importance: the anti-codon, which is responsible for specific mRNA codon recognition, and the 3' end, to which the tRNAs corresponding amino acid is attached (by aminoacyl-tRNA synthetases). tRNAs cope with the degeneracy of the genetic code in two manners: having more than one tRNA (with a specific anti-codon) for a particular amino acid; and 'wobble' base-pairing, i.e. permitting non-standard base-pairing at the 3rd anti-codon position.
Source: Rfam by way of RNAcentral
CCUUCGAUAGCUCAGCUGGUAGAGCGGAGGACUGUAGGCGAGGACGUUUGUAGGUAUCCUUAGGUCGCUGGUUCGAUUCCGGCUCGAAGGA